UACAGAGACUGCAAGCGUUAUUCGGAUUCACUGGGCGUAAAGGGUGCGCAGGCGGCCGUGUGUGUAAGGUGUGAAAUCCCGGGGCUUAACCCCGGAACUGCGCCUUAAACUACAUGGCUAGAGUAUUGGAGAGGGUAGUGGAAUUCACGGUGUAGCAGUGAAAUGCGUAGAUAUCGUGAGGAACACCAGAGGCGAAGGCGACUACCUGGACAAUUACUGACGCUCAGGCACGAAAGCGUGGGGAGCAAAAGGG
RNAcentral lists this ribosomal RNA (253 nucleotides) under uncultured bacterium. RNAcentral describes it as "partial 16S ribosomal RNA". It matches the Rfam family "Bacterial small subunit ribosomal RNA", at positions 524 to 776 of the family's 1533-position model. The record is from RNAcentral.